GAUGAACGCUAGCGGCAGGCCUAACACAUGCAAGUCGAGGGAGAAGCCCUUCGGGGCAGAAACCGGCGCACGGGUGCGUAACGCGUAUGCAACCUACCUUUCACAGGGGGAUAGCCCGAAGAAAUUUGGAUUAAUACCCCAUAAUAUUAUUGGAUGGCAUCAUUUGAUAAUUAAAAUUACGAUGGUGAAAGAUGGGCAUGCGUCCUAUUAGCUAGUUGGAGUGGUAACGGCACCCCAAGGCUACGAUAGGUAGGGGUCCUGAGAGGGAGAUCCCCCACACUGGUACUGAGACAGGGACCAGACUCCUACGGGAGGCAGCAGUGAGGAAUAUUGGUCAAUGGUCGGAAGACUGAACCAGCCAUGCCGCGUGCAGGAAGAAUGCCUUAUGGGUUGUAAACUGCUUUUAUAUGGGAAGAAUAAAGGUGUACG
This 429-nucleotide ribosomal RNA is filed under the name Capnocytophaga granulosa. RNAcentral's name for it is "bacterial SSU rRNA". It matches the Rfam family "Bacterial small subunit ribosomal RNA", at positions 28 to 461 of the family's 1533-position model. Lineage: Bacteria; Pseudomonadati; Bacteroidota; Flavobacteriia; Flavobacteriales; Flavobacteriaceae. The record is from RNAcentral.